Molecule: transfer RNA, 69 nt
Filed under: Anthribidae sp. 9 ACP-2013
Lineage: Eukaryota; Metazoa; Arthropoda; Insecta; Coleoptera; Anthribidae
Description: tRNA-Gln
Source: RNAcentral
UUAUAUUUAAGUAUAUGUUGUACAAAGAUUUUUGAUAUCUUAAGUAAUAGUUUGAAUCUAUUAAAUAUA